CGAAGCUCACGGUGUUGACAUCCCGGAAGAUGUCGAGAAGAUAGAGCAGUUCAUGCGUGAGAGGAACAUGGCUUAGAGCAAAGUGAGUUAUUUUGAUGAUUCACAUAUAACUCCUACAGCUAUAAAGGUGGUGUUCUUUGGUUUCAAUUUGCGCUUUGGUUAGCACGUCAAUUAUCACUGAGAGUUAACUUUUGUGAAGAAAAAGAAAAUUGGAACUGAACUCGCCGUGUAAAUCCUGCAAAUAGUUCAUAAUAUAGAGUUGUUUGAAGUGUGUGUUUCACUUACGUAUUCAUUUGUUGUAGGAAGGUUGUGUAUCACAUUUUCUUUCAUAUUUUACGAUUAAUUGAUUUGUAUUUAUUAAAACUAUGAUUUAGUGAUAACCAUAUCUGCGUAGACACGUGGCAUAUAUUUAUUGAGUUCGGUAUAAAUAGUUAGUGUGGG
RNAcentral lists this unclassified non-coding RNA (441 nucleotides) under Hevea brasiliensis (rubber tree). Lineage: Eukaryota; Viridiplantae; Streptophyta; Magnoliopsida; Malpighiales; Euphorbiaceae. The record is from RNAcentral.